UGAUGAACGAAAUCUUUGGUCCGUGUUUAUGACGGGAAGUAAGACCCCCGGUAUGAGUGACACAGAGAAUGUGCCUAGACAGCACACUUCUGA
Molecule: small nuclear RNA, 93 nt
Organism: Eremothecium gossypii ATCC 10895
Lineage: Eukaryota; Fungi; Ascomycota; Saccharomycetes; Saccharomycetales; Saccharomycetaceae
Source: RefSeq